RNAcentral lists this ribosomal RNA (406 nucleotides) under uncultured bacterium. Its description in RNAcentral is "bacterial SSU rRNA". It matches the Rfam family "Bacterial small subunit ribosomal RNA", at positions 355 to 776 of the family's 1533-position model. The record is from RNAcentral.
CAGGGAAUAUUCCGCAAUGGGCGCAAGCCUGACGGAGCAACGCCGCGAGAGGGAUGAAGGCCUCUGGGCUGUAAACCUCUUUUCUCAAGGAAGAAGAUCUGACGGUACUUGAGGAAUAAGCCACGGCUAAUUCCGUGCCAGCAGCCGCGGUAAUACGGGAGUGGCAAGCGUUAUCCGGAAUUAUUGGGCGUAAAGCGUCCGCAGGCGGCUUUUCAAGUCUGCUGUUAAAACGUGGAGCUUAACUCCAUCAAGGCAGUGGAAACUGAUUGGCUUGAGUGUGGUAGGGGCAGAGGGAAUUCCCGGUGUAGCGGUGAAAUGCGUAGAUAUCGGGAAGAACACCAGUGGCGAAGGCGCUCUGCUGGGCCAUAACUGACGCUCAUGGACGAAAGCCAGGGGAGCGAAAGGG